AACUGAUACUACCUGCGGGAACCUGCGGAAGGAUCAUUAUCUAUUUCAUUGGUGUGGUCGCGGCCUCCGGGGGGUUAACCCCGGGUGGUAGAGGUAACACUUUCACGCGCCACAUGUCUGAAUCCUUUUUUUUACGAGUACCUUUCGUUCUCCUUCGGUGGGGCAACCUGCCGCUGGAACUUAUCAAAACUCUUUUUUGCAUCUAGCAUUACCUGUUCUGAUACAAACAAUCGUUACAAC
RNAcentral lists this unclassified non-coding RNA (240 nucleotides) under soil metagenome. RNAcentral describes it as "partial contains 5.8S ribosomal RNA, internal transcribed spacer 2, and large subunit ribosomal RNA". The record is from RNAcentral.